Molecule: ribosomal RNA, 1054 nt
Filed under: uncultured crenarchaeote
Lineage: Archaea; Thermoproteati; Thermoproteota
Description: bacterial SSU rRNA
Rfam family: Archaeal small subunit ribosomal RNA
Source: RNAcentral
AUUUUCCGGUUGAUCCUGCCGGACCUAACUGCUAUCGGAAUAGGACUAAGCCAUGCGAGUUUGCCAAGGAGAGCACGCUACCUUGGUGGCGAACGGCUCAGUAACACGUAGUCAACCUGCCCUUGGGACGGGAACAAUCUCGGGAAACUGAGGCUAAUGCCCGAUAGAUCAAGAUUUCCUGGAACGGGUUUUGAUCCAAACGUGGUAACAGGCAUCUUCUGUUACAUUUACGCCCGAGGAUGGGACUGCGGCCGAUCAGGCUGUUGGUGGGGUAAUGGCCCACCAAACCAGUAACCGGUACGGGCUUUGAGAGAAGGAGCCCGGAGAUGGGCACUGAGACAAGGGCCCAGGUCCUAUGGGGCGCAGCAGGCGCGAAACCUCUGCAAUAGGCGAAAGCUUGACAGGGUUACUCUGAGUGAUGCCCGCUAAGGGUAUCUUUUGGCACCUCUAAAAAUGGUGCAGAAUAAGGGGUGGGCAAGUCUGGUGUCAGCCGCCGCGGUAAUACCAGCACCCCGAGUGGUCGGGACGAUUAUUGGGCCUAAAGCAUCCGUAGCUUGUUCUGCAAGUCCUCCGUUAAAUCCACCUGCUCAACAGAUGGGCUGCGGAGGAUACUACAGGGCUAGGAGGCGGGAGAGGCAAACGGUACUCAGUGGGUAGGGGUAAAAUCCACUGAUCCACUGAAGACCACCAGUGGCGAAGGCGGUUUGCCAGAACGCGCUCGACGGUGAGGGAUGAAAGCUGGGGGAGCAAACCGGAUUAGAUACCCGGGUAGUCCCAGCUGUAAACGAUGCAGCUCGGUUGGAUGGGGUUGGGCUUCGGGCCAACCCAGUGCCGCAGGGAAGCCGUUAAGUCUGCCGCCUGGGGAGUACGGUCGCAAGACUGAAACUUAAAGGAAUUGGGCGGGGGAGCACCACAGGGGUGAAGCCUGCGGUUCAAUUGGAGUCAACGCCGGACUUCCGGUUGAUCCUGCGGAUUGGAGUCACGCGGAUUGAGUCAACGCGGACUUCCGGUUGAUCCUGCCGGAUGGAGUCACGCCGACUUCCGGUUGAUCCUG